This 77-nucleotide transfer RNA is filed under the name Candidatus Saccharimonadota bacterium. RNAcentral's name for it is "tRNA-Val". It matches the Rfam family "tRNA". Rfam says of the family: Transfer RNA (tRNA) molecules are approximately 80 nucleotides in length. RNAcentral also lists the same sequence under 2 other names. The record is from RNAcentral. Lineage: Bacteria; Candidatus Saccharimonadota.
GGGUGAUUAGCUCAGUUGGCUAGAGCGUCUCGUUUACACCGAGAAGGUCGGGGGUUCGAGCCCCUCAUCACCCACCA